This 342-nucleotide unclassified non-coding RNA is filed under the name soil metagenome. Its description in RNAcentral is "partial contains 5.8S ribosomal RNA, internal transcribed spacer 2, and large subunit ribosomal RNA". The stretch from base 1 to 119 matches the Rfam family "5.8S ribosomal RNA", at positions 35 to 154 of the family's 154-position model. The record is from RNAcentral.
GAUGAAGAACGUAGCGAAAUGCGAUAAGUAAUGUGAAUUGCAGAAUUCAGUGAAUCAUCGAAUCUUUGAACGCACAUUGCGCCCGCUAGUAUUCUGGGGGCAUGCCUGUCCGAGCGUCAUUUCAACCCUCAAGCCCCCGGGCUUGGUGUUGGGGAUCGGCGAGCCUCCGCGCCCGCCGUCCCCUAAAUCUAGUGGCGGUCUCGCUGUAGCUUCCUCUGCGUAGUAGCACACCUCGCACUGGGAAACAGCGCGGCCACGCCGUUAAACCCCCAACUUCUGAACGUUUGACCUCGGAUCAGGUAGGAAUACCCGCUGAACUUAAGCAUAUCAAUAAGCGGAGGA